GACGGAGGGUGCAAGCGUUGUUCGGAUUGACUGGGCGUAAAGGGCGUGUAGGCGGUCGGCCAAGUCUGAUGUGAAAGCCCGGAGCUCAGCUCCGGAAGUGCAUCGGAAACUAGCCGGCUGGAGCGCGGUAGAGGAGGGUGGAAUUCCUGGUGUAGCGGUGAAAUGCGUAGAUAUCAGGAGGAACACCGGCGGCGAAGGCGGCCCUCUGGACCGUUGCUGACGCUGAGACGCGAAAGCGUGGGGAG
Molecule: ribosomal RNA, 245 nt
Filed under: uncultured Desulfomonile sp.
Lineage: Bacteria; Pseudomonadati; Thermodesulfobacteriota; Desulfomonilia; Desulfomonilales; Desulfomonilaceae
Description: partial 16S ribosomal RNA
Rfam family: Bacterial small subunit ribosomal RNA
Source: RNAcentral